GAUGAACGCUGACAGAAUGCUUAACACAUGCAAGUCAACUUGAAUUUGGGUUUUUAACUUAGAUUUGGGUGGCGGACGGGUGAGUAACGCGUAAAGAACUUGCCUCACAGCUAGGGACAACAUUUAGAAAUGAAUGCUAAUACCUGAUAUUAUGAUUUUAAGGCAUCUUAGAAUUAUGAAAGCUAUAAGCACUGUGAGAGAGCUUUGCGUCCCAUUAGCUAGUUGGAGAGGUAACAGCUCACCAAGGCGAUGAUGGGUAGCCGGCCUGAGAGGGUGAACGGCCACAAGGGGACUGAGACACGGCCCUUACUCCUACGGGAGGCAGCAGUGGGGAAUAUUGGACAAUGGACCGAGAGUCUGAUCCAGCAAUUCUGUGUGCACGAUGAAGUUUUUCGGAAUGUAAAGUGCUUUCAGUUGGGAAGAAAAAAAUGACGGUACCAACAGAAGAAGUGACGGCUAAAUACGUGCCAGCAGCCGCGGUAAUACGUAUGUCACGAGCGUUAUCCGGAUUUAUUGGGCGUAAAGCGCGUCUAGGUGGUUAUGUAAGUCUGAUGUGAAAAUGCAGGGCUCAACUCUGUAUUGCGUUGGAAACUGUGUAACUAGAGUACUGGAGAGGUAAGCGGAACUACAAGUGUAGAGGUGAAAUUCGUAGAUAUUUGUAGGAAUGCCGAUGGGGAAGCCAGCUUACUGGACAGAUACUGACGCUAAAGCGCGAAAGCGUGGGUAGCAAACAGG
This 735-nucleotide ribosomal RNA is filed under the name uncultured Fusobacterium sp. RNAcentral describes it as "bacterial SSU rRNA". It matches the Rfam family "Bacterial small subunit ribosomal RNA", at positions 28 to 776 of the family's 1533-position model. The record is from RNAcentral. Lineage: Bacteria; Fusobacteriati; Fusobacteriota; Fusobacteriia; Fusobacteriales; Fusobacteriaceae.